Molecule: ribosomal RNA, 253 nt
Filed under: uncultured bacterium
Lineage: Bacteria
Description: partial 16S ribosomal RNA
Rfam family: Bacterial small subunit ribosomal RNA
Source: RNAcentral
UACAGAGGGGGCAAGCGUUAUUCGGAAUUAUUGGGCGUAAAGGGCGCGUAGGCGGCCUGGCAAGUGGAAGGUGAAAUCCCUCGGCUUAACCGAGGAACUGCCCUCCAAACUGCCUGGCUUGAGUCCGGGAGAGGUGAGUGGAAUUCCCAGUGUAGCGGUGAAAUGUGUAGAUACUCGGAAGAACACCAGCGGCGAAGGCAGCAACUUGGUCUGGUAUUGACGCUCAGGCACGAAAGCAUGGGGAUCAAACAGG